RNAcentral lists this long non-coding RNA (1647 nucleotides) under Anas platyrhynchos platyrhynchos (common mallard). RNAcentral describes it as "lncRNA (ENSAPLG00000022371.1)". Lineage: Eukaryota; Metazoa; Chordata; Aves; Anseriformes; Anatidae. The record is from RNAcentral.
UAGCUUUCUGGAGGCAUGGAGCCUAUGAGACAGUACAACAGCCAGUGAAGUCCACCCCAUUAAUAAGGACUACUCAGUUUAUUAAUGUGCUGCUCCGAGGGAAAUGCCUCCAGUAGGUGUCUGCUGGUGUUUGUUGAACACCUUUUCUGGGAUCCUUGAAACCAAAGCAAACUCUAGUGGUGCAAAGACCAAGAAACUGCGAGGGAGAACUCAAUGCCCAGUUGGAGAAGUGGUGCUGUUCGCCUAAAAAUCAACAGAUACUCUCCUAUGUACAAGUUUCUUUCAAAAUACAGUUCAUAUGAGGACCAUAGUCUUCUUGGAAUAUGUCAUUUGCAGAUAAGGCAAGAUAGCACAUCCUGUUAUGCCUCAGUCAAGGAGAAUAUUGGUUGUAUGAGAUUGUUCUGAAAUCAGGGCCGUGAUCCGCCCACAGGCCAGCUACCUUAUUCAACUCCUUUGAAGCUCCGUGUGAGUCCUGGAUGGAAUUUGGCUGCUCCCAGGUGCUUGAUGUGUGCUCUAAGCAAGUCCCAAGACUUGCUGGAAGCAAGAGGGAAAGGCUGCAUCCUGGGUAAGUCACUGACCUGGAAUGGCUUCAUUUCCUUGCUCUGACAGAUAUUUCCUCUGCAGUUUUGACCCUAUCGUUUAAUUGCUCCAAGCCUCAGUUUUCUUAUCUAUGUGCUGUCUAGAGAUAACAGUGCUUCCAUGCAUCCUAAUAGCAGUGGAAAUAGGUGUGCUUAGGCUUGUUUGGCGAAACAAGGACCUUGUUGUCUCAGGAGGGCUAAUCUUUAGCAUACCAUCAGCUCUGUUGACUUGUCCAGCAUUUUUGGAAGCAUUAAGGUUGAUUUUCAGAAGUUAAUUUCAACUUUUUCUUGACCGUUUAUUGGUAAGAAGAAAAAACAUCUCAACUUAAUGUUUUGCUUUAGACUAAAGUCUGCUUUUAAACUGACUGCAGUAAUGGAAUUGUUUCAUAUUUCUAAGACUUUUUUUUUUUUCUUUAGAAGAAAUAUUUGCUUUUGUAAAACAGAAUGAUUUUUUUAGUUGUAAUCUGGCAUUAAAAUAAUAGAUGAUAUUUCGUAAGGCAGAUUCCCACAUAAAGAAUUAAAAAUCUUCCUUCAUGACCUGAAUCAAUUCAGGUACCUGUAUUGUUUUCAAACCUGGGUGAGAAAAGGACUUAGGGGGAAAAAAAAGAAAAAACAAAACCCAACACACCUCAAAGAGCUGAAUGUUAGAGUGCCAUCUAGUGCUUCAUUAAUUAACUGAUUUACUGCAACUUCUGUGUUUCUGCCACUCUCCCUUAUGCCUGAUCUCCGAGGGCUUACUUGGAAAAGCUUACUGCAAGUUCUGAAGGUAAUCAGUUGAUGGUGAAUGAGCUGCCUUCAGCAGACUCGAAGUGCUGAGCAAUGGCAUGGAAAAGAAAACUGAAAUCUUUUUCCCCAUAAAUUUUACAUGAUUUGGUAGAACGCACUGUGAAAACCCGGACUUCAGUUGCAAUGACAAUGCUAUAUAUAUAUAUAUAUAUGAGAGAAGUCAUUAUGAAGGAUCUGAUUCUUUACCUUAUAAUGGUAACUGAAAGAGACUGUGAUACGCAAACUGAUAUAAAAGCAGCGUGGGUAAAAGAAUAAAACCAUCAUGCUUCAAUUAAAAUGAGCA